RNAcentral lists this non-coding RNA (204 nucleotides) under Lysinibacillus contaminans. RNAcentral describes it as "T-box sequence". It matches the Rfam family "T-box leader". From Rfam's summary of the family: Uncharged tRNA acts as the effector for transcription antitermination of genes in the T-box leader family. T-boxes are found upstream of many aminoacyl-tRNA synthetase genes and some amino acid biosynthetic genes usually in Gram-positive bacteria. The record is from RNAcentral. Lineage: Bacteria; Bacillati; Bacillota; Bacilli; Caryophanales; Bacillaceae.
GUAAAGACAAUGAUGAGGAAUAGUAGAUUUGACGUUCUUUGUAGAGAGCUAGCGGUUGGUGAAAGCUAGUAGGAACGCAAGUUGAACUCGCCUACUGAGUCUGCAAGCAAGUUGCCGUUUAUUUCCGCGUUAAGGAAAUUUGAGCCGAGUGUGAUCACUAAUUUGGGUGGUACCGCGGGAGAUGCGUAUUCUCUCGUCCCUUUA